RNAcentral lists this ribosomal RNA (561 nucleotides) under Triticum aestivum (bread wheat). Its description in RNAcentral is "partial small subunit ribosomal RNA". The record is from RNAcentral. Lineage: Eukaryota; Viridiplantae; Streptophyta; Magnoliopsida; Poales; Poaceae.
AUGUCGGCUCUGCGGCACGGAGAGCCGCCGGCGAAGCAAAGGAACAUCGACCCCAUCGUCCGGACUGACCAUCCGUGGGAUCUCCCGGCAACAGUCCCCCUCCCCCACCGCUGCGACUGCCCAGUUUAUGGCGAUCAGCUGUGGAGAGCUUCAGGCUUUAUUGUCGAAUUUGAUGAAUCCAGCAUGAUUGGGACAAUAUUUUCAUGUGCAACUGUAUCUGAACACAUUCUGAUGUUCCCUAAAAUUGACAAGAUAAGAGAGUAUCUAUUUGAUGGUACCUCUUAUGACGCCAGCAUAGAAGCUUGCGACAAUCACUGGAAUUUGUUAGUAUUGUCUGUUUCAUUUGGUCGUGCUGUCAAAACCAUGAACAUGGUGGAAAUUAGCGAGAACAGAAAUGCAAUGGAUGUUCAUCUUCAAGGAUUUGUGCUACAGCCUCACUCAGCUUCUGAAAGGCUUUGUCCUGGCGAUACCAUUAUCGGACUUGGUCGACAGUCUACAGAGCCUUUUGGGCUUCAAGCGAAUUGUGGAGUUUACAGGCGUCAAUUGGAGGUCCAGCAAUAA